Molecule: long non-coding RNA, 2509 nt
Organism: Papaver somniferum (opium poppy)
Lineage: Eukaryota; Viridiplantae; Streptophyta; Magnoliopsida; Ranunculales; Papaveraceae
Exons: 5
Source: RefSeq, a predicted model, not a curated record
AUCAAAACAAAACACCACCAUUACCAUUGCCGAAGAAAAAAAAAAAUUAGAAAUUGGGGUUUUUUGGUUGUUACCUGAGAAGAGAAGGCCAAAUGAGAGGUGGGUAUAGAGAGGAUGGGCAAACAGAGCUGAAUAUGAACCACAAAAGGAAGGAAAAUCAAUUAGAUUUUUGGUUUAUUUUCUUCAGCUGAUACAAUUACGGUUUGCGGGGAAGGAAUGAUGGGAGUAUGUUGGAUGAAAUUGUGGCUUCUGUUGGGUUUCAAUUUGAGUUUAAAAAUGGGGUUUGGACGUGAUUAAUUGUAACAGCAAUGGAAUUUCAAGACUGUAUCUCUCAUUCAAUCCCACUCCGAUCUUCUUGUGUAUUCUGCUGGUAUGUUCAAUUGUAACAAAUGGAGAUUCCAAUUUGUUUUAACCAAUGUAUCAAUUUUGAAGAAGUUAUUUAGAUGCAUGAUUAGGGAAUCUUGCUUCAUGGGUGAGUUUGUUAGAGAGCCAGUUGUGCUGGUUAGGGGUCAUGCUACUUCAUCUGUUAGCUGAGCUUUUGCAUUCCUUCCGAAAUAAAGUAAAGUCUGCAACAUUUUAUAGUGGAUAUAUCUUUUGAUGUCUUAAUUGAAUUUGACUUGUACAUAGGCUAUCAAUUUUAAAAAUAUUAAGCGGUGAUGAGCAGCUAAAUGUAAGAAAAAUUCAUGUAGGAAGGGGGAUUUUCAAUGAAAUUACUCUUACGCUUGGCUUCUGAGCUUUGAUUGUUCUAAACUUCCUUUGGCAAGUGACUGUAUCCUGUGCUGUAGUUGUUUCAUUCCGAUAAGUUUUUGUUUAGUGUGUUAAAAGCAGUGAUGAGCAGCUAACUUUUAAGAAGAUCCAUUCCAUGUAGGAGGUGGGAUCUUCUAUGAAAUAGUCUUAAGCUUGGCUUCUGAGCUUUUAUGGUUUGUUUUACUAGUGCCUGUUAUGUAAAAUCUUAUUUCAUUUCAAGCGUAUUAGUGGUGGCUGCGUUGUCCCGAAAUGGUGGUUAGGCUCAUGUAGCUUGUUAGUGUAUGAAUUGAUGGUGCUCUGCAGAGAUAGUUCUUGUCAAUUCUUGGUGUUUGGUUCUUUGAGAGUGCUGUUGGUAGAAGAAGGUCUUGGUGCUUGGAGUGUGCUUUUGAUGCUUUGCAGAGAAGACGCUACUACCAGUGAUUGCUUGCUUACAAGGAUUUCAUGUCCGUAAUUUUUUGGGAGGGGAUUUGGAUCUAAUUAGUGUUCUACUUCAUUACCUAAUAUGGUUUCUAUCUGUUAGUGAUAUUCAUACAGUAUGGUGUGCACUGUUGGCCUAGUUGGUUGUGUUUUUACUCAUGCCGAGCUAUUUGUUCUGCUAUUGGAAGAAGUGUUAGUUGCUAUUGCUCACUGCAGCUCCUUCAACACCUGUUUUUGGUACAUGGUUUAGCACAAUAUUUACAGAUCUGCAAUGCCUAGAAUGGAUAUCUUAGAAGUAUGUGCUCGAGCAAAGCUGAAUUUGACUGAAAGAGAACAUGGAGGUUGUGCUGGAUAUGGAAAUGAAUGUCUCAUAAGAUAUCCUGUAGUGGAUUUGAAGAAAGAUCGGGUUCCCUAAUUUGAUUUUUGGAAGAUGGAAAUGGUGUUCUGUAGUGGUAGUGGUGGGACCAAUUUUGGUGUGCACGCGUCAAAUAGAUGAUGACAUGUACAGACCGAACCGAGUUAACAAGAUUAAAACGUCUUUUUAGCUGGGAAGAUGGGUCGCUGGCAGAUAACUUCUGAUUUCUGAAAACAACUCAGGUGUAUAUGCAACAAGAGCUGGUAAAACCACAGGAUCUGAGAAACAAAGCCAAGUUAGACACAGAAUUCAGGGAUGACCGUUUCUACAUCUCCUUGGUUCAAAAUUAACAUUUGGUUUCCAAGGCAACUCAGUUGUGGGAGUUUGGGAGUUAUUACUAGUACCAAAAAGUCAAUACAAAGCUCUUGCUUCGGUCUCUAAUUAUAACAGGUCAUCCUGAACAUAGGUGCCGAAUCUCAGGAUCAUCCUGCUUGCAGCGAUGGAUUAGAGGAUUCAGAGCCGUCAAGUUUCCUUGUCAGGAUGUCUUUAUCUGCUCACUCUGGUGAUUUGGCUUCAAGUCAUGUAGAUGAUAGAGAAUCGUUGAAUGGAUCUUGUUGUGACCACUAAUAAUGAUGAAAGGCAGAGAAGCAGUUCGGAUUCAGCUCAUAGUCAUGCAAGUGAAGAAAUGCUUUCUCAAGUGGAUGAUAGAAGUGAAAGACUUCAUCCUUAGAUGGGUGGGAACAUGCUUUACAAUGUAUUCAUAACCAGUCUCCCCCUCCCCACCCACCCCACCUCCAUCUGGUAUGUAACUUUCCGCCAGUGGUAUUAAGGCUUCUUUGAUUGUACAAUCACGUAUAUAAUGCUCGUAGUCGUAGGUGUACCCCUAGAAUACAGAAUGGUGUAUAAAAAUCCUAAAAAUAUUUCACCAGCGGUAUGUUUAAUUUCCUAACUGACUUAUCAAAUCAAACCAUGUUUUUGUGACUGUACAAA